Molecule: non-coding RNA, 955 nt
Filed under: Phascogale calura (red-tailed phascogale)
Lineage: Eukaryota; Metazoa; Chordata; Mammalia; Dasyuromorphia; Dasyuridae
Description: 12S ribosomal RNA
Rfam family: Bacterial small subunit ribosomal RNA
Source: RNAcentral
CAAAGGUUUGGUCCUAGCCUUACUGUUAAUUCUUAUUAGACCUACACAUGCAAGUAUCCGCAAUCCAGUGAGUAUGCCCUUUUAACUUCUCAUUAAGCCUAGAGGAGCAGGUAUCAGGCACACUUAUAAAAGUAGCCCAUGACACCUUGUUUAACCACACCCCCACGGGUUACAGCAGUGACUAACAUUGAGCUAUAAACGAAAGUUUGACUAAAUCAUAAUAAAUUAGGGUUGGUAAAUCUCGUGCCAGCCACCGCGGUCAUACGAUUAACCCAAAUUAACAGAAGAACGGCGUAAGUGUGUUUAAGCAUUUAAUCUAUUAAAUAAAGUUAAAACUUAACUAUGCUGUAAUACGCUCUAGUUAAUAUUAAAAUACGCAACUUACGUGACUUUACCAAUUGCUGAAGACACUAAAGCUAAGGUACAAACUGGGAUUAGAUACCCUACUAUGCUUAGCCAUAAACCGAGGUAGUUAAGAUAACAAAACUAUUCGCCAGAGAACUACAAGCUACCGCUUAAAACUCAAAGGACUUGGCGGUGCCCUAGACCCUCCUAGAGGAGCCUGUUCUGUAAUCGAUAAACCCCGAUACACCUCACCUUUCCUGGCUGUCAGUCUAUAUACCGCCAUCGUCAGCUCACCCCAACAGGGUACAAAAGUGAGCAAGAUCAUGAAACCAUAAAAACGUUAGGUCAAGGUGUAGCAUAUGGAAAGGGAAGUAAUGGGCUACAUUUUCUAUAUUAGAACAUAACGGAUUGCCUAUUGAAACAUAAGCAUGAAGGAGGAUUUAGCAGUAAAUUAAGAAUAGAGAGCUUAAUUGAAAUCGGCAAUAGGGUGCGUACACACCGCCCGUCACCCUCCUCGAUAAAGUAACUUUCUAUACCUAAUAAGAAUACGCAAAAAAGAGGAGAAAAGUCGUAACAUGGUAAGUGUACUGGAAAGUGCACUUGGAUAAUC